Molecule: ribosomal RNA, 1586 nt
Filed under: Salmonella enterica subsp. enterica serovar Kintambo
Lineage: Bacteria; Pseudomonadati; Pseudomonadota; Gammaproteobacteria; Enterobacterales; Enterobacteriaceae
Description: bacterial LSU rRNA
Rfam family: Bacterial large subunit ribosomal RNA
Source: RNAcentral
GUGACUGCGUACCUUUUGUAUAAUGGGUCAGCGACUUAUAUUCUGUAGCAAGGUUAACCGAAUAGGGGAGCCGGAGGGAAACCGAGUCUUAAUUGGGCGUUAAGUUGCAGGGUAUAGACCCGAAACCCGGUGAUCUAGCCAUGGGCAGGUUGAAGGUUGGGUAACACUAACUGGAGGACCGAACCGACUAAUGUUGAAAAAUUAGCGGAUGACCUGUGGCUGGGGGUGAAAGGCCAAUCAAACCGGGAGAUAGCUGGUUCUCCCCGAAAGCUAUUUAGGUAGCGCCUCGUGAAUUCAUCUCCGGGGGUAGAGCACUGUUUCGGCUAGGGGGCCAUCCCGGCUUACCAACCCGAUGCAAACUGCGAAUACCGGAGAAUGUUAUCACGGGAGACACACGGCGGGUGCUAACGUCCGUCGUGAAGAGGGAAACAACCCAGACCGCCAGCUAAGGUCCCAAAGUCAUGGUUAAGUGGGAAACGAUGUGGGAAGGCCCAGACAGCCAGGAUGUUGGCUUAGAAGCAGCCAUCAUUUAAAGAAAGCGUAAUAGCUCACUGGUCGAGUCGGCCUGCGCGGAAGAUGUAACGGGGCUAAACCAUGCACCGAAGCUGCGGCAGCGACGCUUAUGCGUUGUUGGGUAGGGGAGCGUUCUGUAAGCCUGUGAAGGUGGCCUGUGAGGGUUGCUGGAGGUAUCAGAAGUGCGAAUGCUGACAUAAGUAACGAUAAAGCGGGUGAAAAGCCCGCUCGCCGGAAGACCAAGGGUUCCUGUCCAACGUUAAUCGGGGCAGGGUGAGUCGACCCCUAAGGCGAGGCCGAAAGGCGUAGUCGAUGGGAAACGGGUUAAUAUUCCCGUACUUGGUGUUACUGCGAAGGGGGGACGGAGAAGGCUAUGUUGGCCGGGCGACGGUUGUCCCGGUUUAAGCGUGUAGGUGUGUGUUCCAGGUAAAUCCGGUUCACUUUAACACUGAGGCGUGACGACGAGGCACUACGGUGCUGAAGCAACAAAUGCCCUGCUUCCAGGAAAAGCCUCUAAGCAUCAGGUAACAUCAAAUCGUACCCCAAACCGACACAGGUGGUCAGGUAGAGAAUACCAAGGCGCUUGAGAGAACUCGGGUGAAGGAACUAGGCAAAAUGGUGCCGUAACUUCGGGAGAAGGCACGCUGACACGUAGGUGAAGUGAUUUACUCAUGGAGCUGAAGUCAGUCGAAGAUACCAGCUGGCUGCAACUGUUUAUUAAAAACACAGCACUGUGCAAACACGAAAGUGGACGUAUACGGUGUGACGCCUGCCCGGUGCCGGAAGGUUAAUUGAUGGGGUCAGCGCAAGCGAAGCUCCUGAUCGAAGCCCCGGUAAACGGCGGCCGUAACUAUAACGGUCCUAAGGUAGCGAAAUUCCUUGUCGGGUAAGUUCCGACCUGCACGAAUGGCGUAAUGAUGGCCAGGCUGUCUCCACCCGAGACUCAGUGAAAUUGAACUCGCUGUGAAGAUGCAGUGUACCCGCGGCAAGACGGAAAGACCCCGUGAACCUUUACUAUAGCUUGACACUGAACAUUGAGCCUUGAUGUGUAGGAUAGGUGGGAGGCUUUGAAG